AGCCCAGCACCGAAUCCUUCACCAUCUCGGUGACAGGAAAUGUGGUGUUUAGGCCGUACCUUGUCCCGACACGUCUCUCCUCAAGUCCACUUGAUUGUGGCCCCAGGCCCAGAGAGGGUGUAAGGCCCGUGGAGGCGAGACGUUCGGUACCUGGUGCGUCCUUAGAGUCGGGUUGUUUGGGAAUGCAGCCCUAAGCGGGUGGUAAACUCCAUCCAAGGCUAAAUACCAGCACGAGUCCGAUAGCGAAGAAGUACCGCGAGGGAAGGUUGAAAAGAACUUUGAAGAGAGAGUUCAAGAGUACGUGAAACCGCUGAGAGGCAAACUGGUGGAACUGAAAUGGUCCCGAGGAAUUCAGCCGUUGGUCGUUGCACAGUCUUUGGUGAUUGAUCUAACGACGGCGCCAUUGAAUGACGUUUCGAUCAUCGGUGCACUUUCCUCGCCUGGGCCCGACCACGACCGGUGAGCUGAUCUGUCUGUCGUGCUUGGAAGAUAGCGCCGUCUUCGGAAGGCGUGUUAUAGACAGGCAUACGGAGCAGUCGGCGCACUGGAUGAUAGUGCCUGCCCAUCUGGGCUCAUAUGGUGGUUGUUUUGUUGGCGAGUUCUGAUGUCACUACUUCGGUAGAGUCGUUAGACUCUGUUGGCAUUAUGGCUGUCCUCUAUGAUUGGCACUGUUAAGUCUGUGGUUGUGAAGUAGGUAGUCCACCUGACCCGUCUUGAAACACGGACCAAGGAGUCUAACAUGUGCGCGAGUCAUUGGGUUCACGAAACCUAAAGGCGCAGUGAAGGUAAAGAUCUGUUUUGGCAGAUUGAGGUGGGAUGCCGGGUUACGCGCCCGGCCGCACUACCGGCCCGUUCUAUAUGUCUUUCAUAGGAGCGGAGCAAGAGCGUACACGUUGGGACCCGAAAGAUGGUGAACUAUGCUUGCGCAGGUCGAAGCCAGA
This 941-nucleotide ribosomal RNA is filed under the name Thysanozoon brocchii. Its description in RNAcentral is "partial large subunit ribosomal RNA". It matches the Rfam family "Eukaryotic large subunit ribosomal RNA", at positions 106 to 856 of the family's 3401-position model. The record is from RNAcentral. Lineage: Eukaryota; Metazoa; Platyhelminthes; Polycladida; Pseudocerotidae.